GACGAACGCUGGCGGCGUGCUUAACACAUGCAAGUCGAACGGUAAGGCCCUUCGGGGUACACGAGUGGCGAACGGGUGAGUAACACGUGGGUGAUCUGCCCUGCACUUCGGGAUAAGCCUGGGAAACUGGGUCUAAUACCGGAUAGGACUCCGGACUGCAUGGUCUGGGGUGGAAAGCUUUUGCGGUGUGGGAGGGGGCCGCGGCCUAUCAGCUUGUUGGUGGGGUGAUGGCCUACCAAGGCGACGACGGGUAGCCGGCCUGGGAGGGUGACCGGCAAGACUGGGACUAAGAUACGGCCCAGACUCCUACUGGAGGCAGCAGUGGGGAAUAUUGCACAAAGGGCGAAAGCCUGAUGCAGCGACGCCGCGUGGGGGAUGACGGCCUUCGGGUUGUAAACCUCUUUCAGCAUCGACGAAGCGAAAGUGACGGUAGGUGCAGAAGAAGGACCGGCCAACUACGUGCCAGCCGCCGCAGUAA
Molecule: ribosomal RNA, 478 nt
Filed under: uncultured bacterium
Lineage: Bacteria
Description: partial 16S ribosomal RNA
Rfam family: Bacterial small subunit ribosomal RNA
Source: RNAcentral